Molecule: long non-coding RNA, 327 nt
Filed under: Lotus japonicus
Lineage: Eukaryota; Viridiplantae; Streptophyta; Magnoliopsida; Fabales; Fabaceae
Description: long non-coding RNA (LJAP_LNC000873)
Source: RNAcentral
UAGAAACAAAGCUUGACAAAGUUUUCAUGGAAAACCACCAAGAUCCUCCUCAAUCUCCGACUCCUCAGUUUCUAACUCCUAUUGAUUUAGGGUUUGCAUUGGUGGUUGUUGCAUCCUUUCUUCCAUCAUUUGUUUUACCAUUCUUUGAGUCUCCUCCAUAGUGUUUCUCAAUUGAUCAAAUUAUGAUCUUCUUACCCAUUCAGUUGAUGAAGAACAUGAGCCAUGAUAUUGUUUAUUUGUAACAGUGAACUCCAAUCCCAACCCAUAUAUUCUACUCUUUUUCAUGCCAGCCACUUCACGCCACACAUCUAGCUCAUUUGGCGGAGN